UAAGAGAGGAGGCAUCUGACAUUCUCCUUGUAAAGAAACAAUGGGUGUUGUUCUCAUAGCACCAGUGACUGUGCGAAGAUUUUUAUUUUGUAAAAUUUCUAAUUUAUUAACUAAUUUUUUGUUUUCAGCAUAACACAAGAAAGCAUACUCAAAGUGGCUUCUCACCAGAGACUUAUAAAGCAUCAGUAAUAUCUUUGGAUCAGCACCCCAGCUUGUACCAGCCAAGGCUUUUAAGGAAAAUUCAGGAAUCUCAGCUCCUGUGCAAGAAUGUGAUGGUUAACAUUGUUAAAUGCUCCAACAAUGUCUACAAAAAUAGCCACAAGUACUUGAUGAUUACGAAUAGAAUUAAAAAUAUCAAGAUGAAGAUGUGCUAUACUCUCCCUGGCUGACUUCCCACGUCGAAACCCGAACUGGUUUGAAGGAAAAUGAUAACUACCCAACGCAUCGUCAUGAACACCCCACUCGCAGGCAGCAGCCAGGGAGGGGGAAACCAGAGUCAGAUCAAGAGCAUUUUGCCGCCAUGUGUUAGAUCCUACAGUAGUUAAUCUGCCAUCAUUUAGCAGUACUAAAUUAUUAUCAUCUAUACAUUUAAGAAGAACAUCACCUCUGUUAUCAACAGAAGAACAACCCCAAACAGAAUGGUGCGCAUUAAAAUCACCAGCAAUAAAUACUGGUUCUGGAAGACUGUUAAAAAGAGCAUUGAGUGAAGUUUUUGUGAAAUUUGGAGAAUUAGGAGGACUAUAAUAACUAAGAAAAGUAAUUUGUUUAGAGCCAAAAUAUAAACGUAAUGCUAUAUUUUGAUUAGAAUCAUCAUAUGUAGUACUUAUAUGCUGAUAAUGUAGCUGAUUGUUAAUAAGUAUAGCAACACCAUUGUGAUUAUUGCCUGAAUCCAAUCUAAUUAUGUUAUAACCAUUUAUUUUAAAACAUUGUGUAGCUUUUAACCAAGUUUCACUGAUAAGAGCAAUAUGGAUAUUAUUGUCAUAUAAAAACUGUGUAAAGUGAAAUUUGUUACUAUUUAAACUCUGAGCAUUCCAUUGUACUAUUCGCAACUGAUCCAUGAAAACAAAAAAAAAAAGGAAAAAGUUGUAAUGAAUUACUUUUUAUGGAUAGUAUCCAUUAAGACAGUUUUAAUAAAUUCAGAGGAGAUAGA
This 1150-nucleotide long non-coding RNA is filed under the name Pectinophora gossypiella (pink bollworm). Its description in RNAcentral is "uncharacterized LOC126368240". Lineage: Eukaryota; Metazoa; Arthropoda; Insecta; Lepidoptera; Gelechiidae. The record is from RNAcentral.